GGUCCGGUAAGGGCCGGUUUUGGCCUCCAAGAUCAUCUGAGGAGAGAUUUUGGACACUUUUGAAACGCUUAAAUGUCUAUUUCAAUUGAUUCAAUUAUUUUUUUUGAAAUAUUUUAACUGAUUCACUCAUUAAAAACGCUCCGAUUCAAGUUUAAAUAUGAAAAAUAUAUCAAAUAUGCCAAAAAAUGUCACUUUUCACAUGGUUUUUGUCAAAAAUAAAAGUGGC
RNAcentral lists this long non-coding RNA (226 nucleotides) under Mytilus galloprovincialis (Mediterranean mussel). Lineage: Eukaryota; Metazoa; Mollusca; Bivalvia; Mytilida; Mytilidae. The record is from RNAcentral.